This 798-nucleotide long non-coding RNA is filed under the name Mus caroli (Ryukyu mouse). Its description in RNAcentral is "lncRNA (MGP_CAROLIEiJ_G0004416.1)". The record is from RNAcentral. Lineage: Eukaryota; Metazoa; Chordata; Mammalia; Rodentia; Muridae.
CCAGUAAGCAGCAUCCCUCCACAGUCUCUGCAUCAGCUCCUGCCUCCAGGUUCCUACCCUGAUUUCCUUCAGUGAUGAACUGUAUAUGAAACUGUACAUCUUAACUAACCAGUGCCCAAUCUAAGAGCCAGACACGGUAAAGACCUAGAACGCAUUCAUCUCUGGAUGAAUUCACCUGUCACGAUCAUAAAUUCUUUCAUGAGCACCGGGGAUGAGACCUGAGGAAUCUACCCAGAAGCAGACAGUAGAGUCCUGGCAGACUUAUUCUUUGUUGUUAGCUGAUUGAAGAAUAAAGCUCUGAAGGACUGAAGGACGAAAGGUUCCCGCGACCAGGCUUCCUCAGCAAGCCUGGUCGCGGUCAUUUCCCGAUGAGCCAUCUUGUCAGCCGGUGUUUCUGUCUUGCCAGCUCCGAUGACUAACUCCAGAGUUUGCCUCUCGAAAAUCCUACAAGCGAUGGGAAUCUGCUCUCUGUGGCAUCCUUGAGCGGUGCCCAGAAUUUGCAGGGAGCCUCCUGUAUUGUCAGCUUACUGGCAGCCUUGUUUAUGUGGGAAGAUUCCCACAGCAGGAACAACGAGUCCCGAGCUGUGUCUCUCAAGCCCGUCAUGCUAUUGAUUUCCAUCAAAUUUGAAAGGUAUUCAUUACCUGUGAGUUGCCAGCAGAGGCAGAGCAUGAUGUUCAAGGACAACUCUUUAUUUUCCAUGAUUUGGGGUGUCUACUUGGAAAUCAGCCCUAGUGACCUGACGAAUAGCCAGUCACCUUUUACCUACAUGGAUCUAGAGGCUGCAGCUAAGUGUGGCA